UACAGAGGUCCCAAGCGUUGUUCGGAUUCACUGGGCGUAAAGGGUGCGUAGGCGGCAGGGUGAGUUUGAUGUGAAAUCCCCGGGCUCAACCCGGGAACUGCAUUGAAUACUCUCCUGCUAGAGGAUCGGAAGGGAGACUGGAAUUCUCGGUGUAGCAGUGAAAUGCGUAGAUAUCGAGAGGAACACCAGUGGCGAGGGCGAGUCUCUGGACGAUUCCUGACGCUGAGGCACGAAAGCUAGGGGAGCAAACAGG
This 253-nucleotide ribosomal RNA is filed under the name uncultured bacterium. Its description in RNAcentral is "partial 16S ribosomal RNA". It matches the Rfam family "Bacterial small subunit ribosomal RNA", at positions 524 to 776 of the family's 1533-position model. The record is from RNAcentral.